Molecule: long non-coding RNA, 694 nt
Organism: Panicum hallii
Lineage: Eukaryota; Viridiplantae; Streptophyta; Magnoliopsida; Poales; Poaceae
Exons: 3
Source: RefSeq, a predicted model, not a curated record
UAACCUUUCGUUUUUCUUUUCCGCGUGAAGCGUCUAUUCCCCAGCCGGCGAUUCCUCUCCUCUAUUCCUCCAUCCCGUUUUUUCUCCCCUCGUCAGAUCUGAGACGAUCGUGGCGGACGGCGGCCAUGCCCGCGUGCAGCGGCUUUCGGCGAAGGCCGCGCGGCGGGGCAGCGAGCGUCGCUCAGAAGAGGCACGCUCCCGCUCGCGACGACUCCAGGCGGGGAGGUCCUCACGGUGGGGCACGCGGCGUGCGGAGGCAGCACAGCUCAGCUGCGAUAGGGGAUAUGGGUCAACGGCAGCCUACCCGUGGCGAAACGGCAGCAGCCUAGAUCCGGUAGAGGGGAGUGGCAGCACCAGCAAGGGCACACAGCCCCGGUGAAGCGUGGGGUCCGGCGAGGGAUCGGCGUGUUCCCGGCGAGUGCUUUGCCCGGCAAAAUUUAUACCUGCGCGGAGAGGGAAGCUUCAGCAGACGUCUGGUUUGUUUUGGGCAAGAAUGAAAUGACAGGCUACGUGGGUAACAGAACCACCUUGCUCCCGUGUUUCAGAUCUUUACUAUUUUUUAUCAGAUGUCAACAUUAGUUUUGUAUUAAAUAAAAGAAGGGCACAGUUAUAUAGGACAACUUAUAUAUAUAGACAUUUUUGUUAACACUCAUGCUCUAUAAGUAUUUUUCAUGAGUAAAUUUUUUUAAAAUGA